CCCCCUUACCUCACCCAACAACACGUUUCUCAAAUUUCAUUUGUAAAAAUCCAGCCGAGGUUUGCAAAUAUACCCAGACACACUUGCCCCACAAAAAAGGAGGAAAAAAUUCAUGCAGAUGAAAAUGAUGUUCAAGAGUUCCUCAAUUUAGUCAAAUUAUUUAAAAGCAUUGACAGUUGCAAAUUAAAGAGGAAAAGUAUACCACAAGUACAAACAAAGACAAGAGUAAGCUUGUACAAAACGAUAACAGUGAUGCAUUUGAGGAUCGGAAUAUCUUUUAGCAUCAAGGUUAAUUUUAACAUGACAUUUCACAUGUUUAAGGGUUUCUUGCAGAUUACAUUUGUAACAGCUUAA
Non-coding RNA from Vicia faba (fava bean), 354 nucleotides. The record is from the annotation of a GenBank genome assembly. NCBI's taxonomy places the organism in Eukaryota, Viridiplantae, Streptophyta, Magnoliopsida, Fabales, Fabaceae.